This 469-nucleotide long non-coding RNA is filed under the name Equus caballus (horse). RNAcentral's name for it is "lncRNA (ENSECAG00000052326.1)". The record is from RNAcentral. Lineage: Eukaryota; Metazoa; Chordata; Mammalia; Perissodactyla; Equidae.
CUGACAGUCUGGCUACUCAGGGGGACUUUGAGCUACAAUUUCUGACUGACUCUUUAAGCUCUGCAGCCAGCUUAUUCUCUCAGAAAUCCGGUGAGUGCUGGGUAGGCCAGCUCAGUCCUGACCAUCGGGAGGGAGGGAGAAGCUGCCUCUCUGGCAAAGAAGCCACCAAGAGGAUGAGGAAGAGGAGGAGAAGGAUUGGUUUUCAGGUUGCCUCCCCCAGAGCAAGAACUCCUGUGGGGACGAAAGCCCCAAUAUCCGCCGCCUGCCCGCAAGCCUUGCCAACCGGCUCUUCAGACAUUAUCCUCAGUUCUGGGCAUACAACCACACACAAGCUGUAGUUCCAGCCCUCACAGAGCUCAUGAUGUAGCAGAGGACACAGACAGCUAACUGGCAAUCACACAUCGAGUGAUGGGCGCUACAGAAGGGCAUGCUGAGGGAACUUCUGGAAGGGGCAGCUAACGGGGCCUGG